Molecule: ribosomal RNA, 547 nt
Filed under: uncultured bacterium
Lineage: Bacteria
Description: bacterial SSU rRNA
Rfam family: Bacterial small subunit ribosomal RNA
Source: RNAcentral
CCCUUCGGGGGAAAGAUUUAUCGCCUUGGAUGAACCCGCGUCGGAUUAGCUAGUUGGUGAGGUAAAGGCUCACCAAGGCGACGAUCCGUAGCUGGUCUGAGAGGAUGAUCAGCCACACUGGGACUGAGACACGGCCCAGACUCCUACGGGAGGCAGCAGUGGGGAAUAUUGGACAAUGGGCGCAAGCCUGAUCCAGCCAUGCCGCGUGUGUGAUGAAGGCCUUAGGGUUGUAAAGCACUUUCGCCGGUGAAGAUAAUGACGGUAACCGGAGAAGAAGCCCCGGCUAACUUCGUGCCAGCAGCCGCGGUAAUACGAAGGGGGCAAGCGUUGCUCGGAAUCACUGGGCGUAAAGCGCACGUAGGCGGGUUGUUAAGUCAGAGGUGAAAUCCUGGAGCUCAACUCCAGAACUGCCUUUGAUACUGGCGACCUUGAGUUCGAGAGAGGUUGGUGGAACUGCGAGUGUAGAGGUGAAAUUCGUAGAUAUUCGCAAGAACACCAGUGGCGAAGGCGGCCAACUGGCUCGAUACUGACGCUGAGGUGCGAAAGC